This 253-nucleotide ribosomal RNA is filed under the name uncultured bacterium. RNAcentral describes it as "partial 16S ribosomal RNA". It matches the Rfam family "Bacterial small subunit ribosomal RNA", at positions 524 to 776 of the family's 1533-position model. The record is from RNAcentral.
UACAGAGGGUGCAAGCGUUGUUCGGAAUUAUUGGGCGUAAAGCGCGUGUAGGCGGCUUUGCAAGUCGGGUGUGAAAGCCCUCAGCUCAACUGAGGAAGUGCGCCCGAAACUGCAGAGCUUGAGUACCGGAGAGGGUGGCGGAAUUCCCCAAGUAGAGGUGAAAUUCGUAGAUAUCAGGAGGAACACCAGUGGCGAAGGCGGCUUUCUGGACGAUAACUGACGCUGAGACGCGAAGGCGUGGGGAGCAAACAGG